ACGUGCUACAAUGGGGCCGACAGAGGGAGGCGGACGCGCGAGCGCGAGCGGACCCCAAAAACGGCCCCCCAGUUCGGACUGCAGCCUGCAACCCGGCUGCACGAAGCCGGAAUCGCUAGUAAUCGCGGAUCAGAACGCCGCGGUGAAUACGUUCCCGGGUCUUGUACACACCGCCCGUCAAGCCAUGGGAGCCGGGGGCGCCUGAAGUCCGGGACCGCGAGGACCGGCCUAGGGCGAAACUGGUAACUGGGGCUAAGUCGUAACAAGGUAGC
This 272-nucleotide ribosomal RNA is filed under the name uncultured bacterium. Its description in RNAcentral is "partial 16S ribosomal RNA". It matches the Rfam family "Bacterial small subunit ribosomal RNA", at positions 1220 to 1500 of the family's 1533-position model. The record is from RNAcentral.